This 481-nucleotide ribosomal RNA is filed under the name uncultured bacterium. RNAcentral's name for it is "partial 16S ribosomal RNA". It matches the Rfam family "Bacterial small subunit ribosomal RNA", at positions 43 to 523 of the family's 1533-position model. The record is from RNAcentral.
CGCGCCUAACACAUGCAAGUCGAACGGAGAUCAUUUGGUAGAAGUUUUCGGAUGGACACUGAGUGAUCUUAGUGGCGAACGGGUGAGUAACGCGUGAGCAAUCUGCCUCAGAGUGGGGGACAACAGUUGGAAACGACUGCUAAUACCGCAUAAGCCCACAGCACCGCAUGGUGCAGGGGGAAAAGAUUUAUUGCUUUGAGAUGAGCUCGCGUCCAAUUAGCUAGUUGGUGAGGUAACGGCCCACCAAGGCGACGAUUGGUGGCCGGACUGAGAGGUUGAACGGCCACAUUGGGACUGAGAUACGGCCCAGACUCCUACGGGAGGCAGCAGUGGGGAAUAUUGCACAAUGGGGGGAACCCUGAUGCAGCGACGCCGCGUGGAGGAAGAAGGUCUUCGGAUUGUAAACUCCUGUUGUUAGGGACGAUAAUGACGGUACCUAACAAGGAAGCACCGGCUAACUACGUGCCAGCAGCCGCAGUAA